UACGUAGGGUGCGAGCGUUGUCCGGAAUUAUUGGGCGUAAAGGGCUCGUAGGCGGUUUGUCGCGUCGGGAGUGAAAACACCGGGCUUAACUCGGUGCUUGCUUUCGAUACGGGCAGACUAGAGGUAUGCAGGGGAGAACGGAAUUCCUGGUGUAGCGGUGAAAUGCGCAGAUAUCAGGAGGAACACCGGUGGCGAAGGCGGUUCUCUGGGCAUUACCUGACGCUGAGGAGCGAAAGCGUGGGGAGCGAACAGG
This 253-nucleotide ribosomal RNA is filed under the name uncultured bacterium. RNAcentral describes it as "partial 16S ribosomal RNA". It matches the Rfam family "Bacterial small subunit ribosomal RNA", at positions 524 to 776 of the family's 1533-position model. The record is from RNAcentral.